UUCUUAUUAGAUAAUGACUAUCACGUGUCAUGUUAUGAUUGGAUAUCAAUUACAUGAAAGAUGAAAUACAUUGUUGUUUUCAUUGAUCAAUCAGAACAUAACACGUCAUCAUAUCGUGACACAUGACAGUCAACAUUC
Non-coding RNA from Glycine soja, 138 nucleotides. NCBI's taxonomy places the organism in Eukaryota, Viridiplantae, Streptophyta, Magnoliopsida, Fabales, Fabaceae. The record is from Rfam.